UCCUGUAUGAAUCAUUGUUGGAGGGCUUCUACUUUGGAGCCUUGUGGAGAUCACUCUAUUACCAGAUCAUCAUCUUCGUAUUUGGUAUAUGACUUCUGAUCCCUCAUUAAUAUGCAUGCUAAAAUUGUUUGUUUGUAAUCAUCAAGGAGUUUCUAAGGUUUGUAUUUCAGUAGUCAUAUUUUAAUUAUUAAAACUUAUUUUCAAUAGUUGAAUGCAUGAAAAUAUUU
Molecule: long non-coding RNA, 227 nt
Filed under: Elaeis guineensis (African oil palm)
Lineage: Eukaryota; Viridiplantae; Streptophyta; Magnoliopsida; Arecales; Arecaceae
Description: long non-coding RNA (EGUI_LNC059717)
Source: RNAcentral